RNAcentral lists this ribosomal RNA (484 nucleotides) under uncultured bacterium. RNAcentral describes it as "partial 16S ribosomal RNA". It matches the Rfam family "Bacterial small subunit ribosomal RNA", at positions 30 to 507 of the family's 1533-position model. The record is from RNAcentral.
AUUGAACGCUGGCGGCAGGCCUAACACAUGCAAGUCGAGCGGAUGAAGGGAGCUUGCUCCUGGAUUCAGCGGCGGACGGGUGAGUAAUGCCUAGGAAUCUGCCUGGUAGUGGGGGAUAACGUCCGGAAACGGGCGCUAAUACCGCAUACGUCCUGCGGGAGAAAGUGGGGGAUCUUCGGACCUCACGCUAUCAGAUGAGCCUAGGUCGGAUUAGCUAGUUGGUGGGGUAAAGGCCUACCAAGGCGACGAUCCGUAACUGGUCUGAGAGGAUGAUCAGUCACACUGGAACUGAGACACGGUCCAGACUCCUGCGGGAGGCAGCAGUGGGGAAUAUUGGACAGUGGGCGAAAACCUGAUCCAGCCAUGCCACGUGUGUGAAGAAGGUCUUCGGAUUGUAAAGCACUUUAAGUUGGGAGGAAGGGCAGUAAGUUAAUACCUUGCUGUUUUGACGUUACCAGCAGAAUAAGCACCGGCUAACUUCGUG